UGCCUAUUAGCUCAAUUGGUAGAGCCUUGUGCAACUGCACAAUGAUGUAGGUUCGAAUCCUACAUAGGCAA
RNAcentral lists this transfer RNA (71 nucleotides) under Spinacia oleracea (spinach). It matches the Rfam family "tRNA". From Rfam's summary of the family: Transfer RNA (tRNA) molecules are approximately 80 nucleotides in length. Their secondary structure includes four short double-helical elements and three loops (D, anti-codon, and T loops). Lineage: Eukaryota; Viridiplantae; Streptophyta; Magnoliopsida; Caryophyllales; Amaranthaceae. The record is from Rfam by way of RNAcentral.